UUUUUACUAUUUAAGAAAAAAUAUUUUUAUUUGCAAGAAAUGGAAAUACAAAAGCAUAACAAUUUAAAUUCAUUUUUUUCCAAACUAAAUACAAGUAUCCUACAAAGCAUUUGCUUUUUUUUUUUUGUAUUUACUUAACUAUGAUAAAGAAUAAAAAGCCAUUAAAAAAAAACAGCGUGAUAAUGACAGAUAAUAGACUCACAAUAUAUUUAGACUUAAACAUUACUGGUCUAUAUAACCUGUUACCAAAGAGAGAAAGCUCAGCCUGUCAGCACAAACAUUAAAGCUCAUGGUUGAUUAUAGUCCAGAAUCUGUUCAGUAUUGUUUAAAAACGGUCACCCACAAUUUGUCAAAGAGUGCUGGUGUUUUUCGUAGACUCAGAAAAUAUUCCGUCUGAAAGGGAGAUUUGCUGAACAGUGUAGGCCAUGGGUCCAUGGUGCAAAAAGUUCAUGUUCUCAGUCAGCUGGUGAGCAAGCGAGAGGAACAGAGAAACAGCUAAAAUUGCUGGUGUUGCUUUCCCAGGAUGCAGAGGCUGCUAGCUGUAACUAUAGAGGAUGGGAUGAACUGAACAGAUGAACAUCUGCACUAUGAGGCAAAAACCCCUCAACUUUGCACAGCAGGGCCAGCCCAGGGAGUAGGAGGCACUGCAUUCUCUGCCCAGAGGAACUUCAAAGCUUACAGUGUGCUCACGCAGAAAGAGAUCUGUUCACCCUAAUCCACAAAUUGCUGCACCUCCCCUAUCACUUAGCUGUUUAUCAUCUCAUAAUAAUUAGUUGCCCUUGUUUUCUCUUUCUAUAACAUUAAAAGACUUAUUUAGU
This 818-nucleotide long non-coding RNA is filed under the name Bos taurus (domestic cattle). Its description in RNAcentral is "long non-coding RNA NONBTAT020245". The record is from RNAcentral. Lineage: Eukaryota; Metazoa; Chordata; Mammalia; Artiodactyla; Bovidae.